AUUGCUUCUCGGCCUUUUGGCUAAGAUCAAGUGUAGUAUCUGUUCUUAUCAGUUUAAUAUGCCUAACCUACCGACCACUGUAGCUCAGCCUGGCCCACACUAAACAUGCUCAGAACACUGACACGAGCCUCCAGUUGGACACAAUCAUCUGCCACAAAGCCUAUUUUAUAAGGAAAUUUUGACUGUCU
This is a small nuclear RNA of 188 nucleotides. Its record names the gene U2. It matches the Rfam family "U2 spliceosomal RNA". From Rfam's summary of the family: U2 is a small nuclear RNA (snRNA) component of the spliceosome (involved in pre-mRNA splicing). Complementary binding between U2 snRNA (in an area lying towards the 5' end but 3' to hairpin I) and the branchpoint sequence (BPS) of the intron results the bulging out of an unpaired adenosine, on the BPS, which initiates a nucleophilic attack at the intronic 5' splice site, thus starting the first of two transesterification reactions that mediate splicing. The record is from Ensembl.